RNAcentral lists this unclassified non-coding RNA (670 nucleotides) under Hevea brasiliensis (rubber tree). Lineage: Eukaryota; Viridiplantae; Streptophyta; Magnoliopsida; Malpighiales; Euphorbiaceae. The record is from RNAcentral.
AUUAGGGCUUUUCCAUCUUACCGAUUCGAUCGAAAUCGCUUAGAAUUCGCAUUGUUCGUUUCCAGAGAUGUGGCACGAGGCGAGGAGAUCCGAGAGGAAGGUCCAUGACAUGAUGGACGCUGCUCGAAAGCGAGCUCAAAGACGCGCUGUUUUUCUCGCCAAGCGUCGUGGCGAUCCUCAGCAAUCCAUCCAGGUCGUUGGAACUCGGUGCCGCGUCUACCGUGACGAUGGUCUCUAUCAAGCAACUGAGGACCAGCAAGGAUUGAUUCCUUGGAAUGGAAAGCAGGAUGUGAUGAUUGAUAGAUUUGAUGGACGUGCCCUGCUUGAUUUCAUCCGAGAACCUGGAUCCCGACAUAUUCGAACACAAGAAAAAUCUGAGGAAGAAGAGGAGUUAGAAGAGUUUGUUAAUUUUCAGCGUUAUCGAGAUUUAAUUAAGCAUCGGCGUCGAGGAUUUAAUGAUGAGGAUGGUUUACAACACGUAAAUCAAGAAAUGGAGGCCAAGGUGUCUGCUCCAUUUGUAUCUGAUAGAUCUCAGCAACCACAGCCUCCUUCUGCAAGCAAGGGAUCAUAUUCGCAAGUGGGGUUUUCUUAUGAGGCGGAUGGGAAGGAGGAAUCAAAUUCAGAUGCUGAUGAUAAUGCUAGUGAAGAUGAAGAUGAUGAGGAUGAUGAG